GCUACGGCAUCAGUAAUGAUGGGUAGGGGAGCUUCCCAUACGGGUUGAAGCAUGACCGUAAGGACAUGUGGACAGUAUGGGAGUGAGAAUGUUGGCAUGAGUAGCGAGAUGUGGGUGGGAAUCCCACAGGCCGUAAACCCAAGGUUUCCAGGGGAAGGGUCGUCCGCCCUGGGUUAGUCGGGACCUAAGCUGAGGCCGAAAGGCGUAGGUGAUGGACAACAGGUUGAUAUUCCUGUACUACCGAUAACCGUUUGAGAGAAGGGAUGACACAGUAGGAUAAGCUAAGCACACUGUUGGUUAUGUGUGCCCAAGCAUUGAGGCAGUCAAAGUAGGUAAAUCCGCUUUGAUAAUGCUGGGAUGUGAUGGGGAGCGAAAUUUAGUAGCGAAGUAGCUGAUUUCACACUGUCAAGAAAAGUCUCUAUCGAGGUUAAAGGUACCCGUACCGCAAACCGACACAGGUG
Molecule: ribosomal RNA, 461 nt
Filed under: Clostridioides difficile
Lineage: Bacteria; Bacillati; Bacillota; Clostridia; Peptostreptococcales; Peptostreptococcaceae
Description: bacterial LSU rRNA
Rfam family: Bacterial large subunit ribosomal RNA
Source: RNAcentral